AUACGGAGGUGGCAAGCGUUGUUCGGAAUUACUGGGCGUAAAGGGCUCGUAGGCGGUUUGUCACGUCGGGAGUGAAAACUCGGGGCUCAACCCCGAGCCUGCUUCCGAUACGGGCUGACUAGAGGUAUGCAGGGGAGAACGGAAUUCCUGGUGUAGCGGUGAAAUGCGCAGAUAUCAGGAGGAACACCGGUGGCGAAGGCGGUUCUCUGGGCAUUACCUGACGCUGAGGAGCGAAAGUGUGGGGAGCGAACAG
RNAcentral lists this ribosomal RNA (253 nucleotides) under uncultured prokaryote. RNAcentral describes it as "partial 16S ribosomal RNA". It matches the Rfam family "Bacterial small subunit ribosomal RNA", at positions 523 to 775 of the family's 1533-position model. The record is from RNAcentral.